RNAcentral lists this ribosomal RNA (243 nucleotides) under uncultured bacterium. Its description in RNAcentral is "partial 16S ribosomal RNA". It matches the Rfam family "Bacterial small subunit ribosomal RNA", at positions 534 to 776 of the family's 1533-position model. The record is from RNAcentral.
GCGAGCGUUGUCCGGAAUCAUUGGGCGUAAAGCGCGCGUAGGUGGCUUCGUAAGUCCGUUGUGAAAGUCAAAGGCUCAACCUUUGAAAGCCGAUGGAUACUGCGGAGCUAGAGUACGGAAGAGGCGAGUGGAAUUCCUGGUGUAGCGGUGGAAUGCGCAGAUAUCAGGAGGAACACCAAUAGCGAAGGCAGCUCGCUGGGACGUUACUGACACUGAGGCGCGAAAGCGUGGGGAGCGAACAGG